This 653-nucleotide small RNA is filed under the name Pan troglodytes (chimpanzee). Its description in RNAcentral is "retained intron". The record is from RNAcentral. Lineage: Eukaryota; Metazoa; Chordata; Mammalia; Primates; Hominidae.
AGGUGCGUUCCCGGCGGGGCUGAGCAGGACCCCCUCGCCCUCCAGGGGACACCAGGAGAAGAUUCGGCAGCGGCAGUCCAUCCUGCCUCCUCCCCAGGGCCCGGCACCCAUCCCCUUCCAGCACCGCGGCGGGGAUUCCCCGGAGGCCAAGAAUCGCGUGGGCCCGCAGGUGCCACUCAGCGAGCCAGGUAGGCCGAGGGGCUGGAGGGGGCUCCACAGGGCUCAUUGUGGGGGGCUCGGUGAGCAGCCGCCGUGUCCCCCAUCAGGUUUCCGCCGUCGGGAGUCGCAGGAGGAGGAGCCGCGGGCCGUGCUGGCUCAGAAGAUAGAGAAGGAGACGCAAAUCCUCAACUGCGCCCUGGACGACAUCGAGUGGUUUGUGGCCCGGCUGCAGAAGGCGGCCGAGGCUUUCAAGCAGCUGAACCAGCGGAAGAAGGGGAAGAAGAAGGGCAAGAAGGCGCCAGCAGAGGGCGUCCUCACACUGCGGGCACGGCCCCCCUCUGAGGGCGAGUUCAUCGACUGCUUCCAGAAAAUCAAGCUGGCGAUUAACUUGCUGAUCGUCAACACCUGCAGUGGCCCAGACAUCGCACGCUCCGUCUCCUACCCACUGCUCUCCCGAGAUGCCGUGGACUUCCUGCGCGGCCACCUGGUCCCUA